Molecule: transfer RNA, 73 nt
Filed under: Symphurus orientalis (pygmy tongue-sole)
Lineage: Eukaryota; Metazoa; Chordata; Actinopteri; Pleuronectiformes; Cynoglossidae
Description: tRNA-Thr
Rfam family: tRNA
About the family: Transfer RNA (tRNA) molecules are approximately 80 nucleotides in length. Their secondary structure includes four short double-helical elements and three loops (D, anti-codon, and T loops).
Source: RNAcentral
GCGUUAGUAGCUCAGUACUUAGAGCAUUGGUCUUGUAAGUCAAAGGUCGAGGCUUGAUAACCCUCCUAGCGCU